Molecule: ribosomal RNA, 463 nt
Filed under: uncultured bacterium
Lineage: Bacteria
Description: partial 16S ribosomal RNA
Rfam family: Bacterial small subunit ribosomal RNA
Source: RNAcentral
ACGAACGCUGGCGGCGUGCUUAACACAUGCAAGUCGAACGGUAAGGCCCCAGCUUGCUGGGGUACACGAGUGGCGAACGGGUGAGUAACACGUGGGUGACCUGCCCCGCACUUCGGGAUAAGCCUGGGAAACUGGGUCUAAUACCGGAUAGGACCGCACCGUGAGGGUGUGGUGGAAAGUUUUUCGGUGUGGGAUGGGCCCGCGGCCUAUCAGCUUGUUGGUGGGGUAAUGGCCUACCAAGGCGGCGACGGGUAGCCGGCCUGAGAGGGUGGACGGCCACAUUGGGACUGAGACACGGCCCAGACUCCUACGGGAGGCAGCAGUGGGGAAUAUUGCACAAUGGGCGGAAGCCUGAUGCAGCGACGCCGCGUGGGGGAUGACGGCCUUCGGGUUGUAAACUCCUUUCACCAUCGACGAAGGUUUUCUGACGGUAGAUGGAGAAGAAGCACCGGCUAACUACGUG